AGUGAACGCUGGCGGUAGGCCUAACACAUGCAAGUCGAACGGCAGCACAGUAAGAGCUUGCGCUUACGGGUGGCGAGUGGCGGACGGGUGAGGAAUAUAUCGGAAUCUGCUUGUUCGUGGGGGAUGACGUAGGGGAUCUUACGCUAAUAGCGCUUAGGGCCUACGGGUGGAAGCUUGGGACCUUCGGACCUUGCGCGAGUGUAGGACGGGAUGUCGGAUUAGCUAGUUGGCGGGGUAAAGGCCCACCAAGGCGACGAUCCGUAGCUGGUCUGAGAGGAUGAUCAGCCACACUGGAACUGAGACACGGUCCAGACUCCUACGGGAGGCAGCAGUGGGGAAUAUUGGACAAUGGGCGCAAGCCUGAUCCAGCCAUACCGCGUGGGUGAAGAAGGCCUUCGGGUUGUAAAGCCCUUUUGGUGGGAAAGAAAAGCAGCAGGUUAAUACCCCGCUAUUCUGACGGUACCCAAAGAAUAAGCACCGGCUAACUUCGUG
Molecule: ribosomal RNA, 492 nt
Filed under: uncultured bacterium
Lineage: Bacteria
Description: partial 16S ribosomal RNA
Rfam family: Bacterial small subunit ribosomal RNA
Source: RNAcentral